Planococcus citri (citrus mealybug) is the source of this 7249-nucleotide RNA transcript. It is a transcript of the gene named dentin sialophosphoprotein-like, with no coding region annotated. The record is from RefSeq and is a predicted model, not a curated record. The transcript is spliced from 5 exons. NCBI's taxonomy places the organism in Eukaryota, Metazoa, Arthropoda, Insecta, Hemiptera, Pseudococcidae.
CAUACGCUGCUAAGUACUCGAUGUUACGUUCGUAAGUGCGAGUUGCAUUAUCGAACUAGUUGUUAUCUAGAUUUUUAUCUCGUUGAUGUGUCGAAGCUUAUUCUUUUUUCGUUUCGUGUUCAAUAGUAAAUAUAUCGUUGUACAGUCCACACCAAUGCUCUAUGUUGUUUUAUUUCGUAUCGUAACAUUAUGGUCCUCCGAGCCGGAUUUCUCAUGCCGGCAAAAGUUUUCCCUUGUUUUCGCGUUUGUGAUGGAAUAAUUUUUUCGUAAUUGCUAUUGUUUUUCGCAAAUUCGAUGUUUCGUAAUGUAUUCGUUUUAUGAAAGUCUCUUGUCAUUUUCGUAAAGUUUCGUGACGUGGUAGUUAUCGUGUAGAAUGACCGAAACUGCUGCUGAAAAGGCAGCUCGCGAGGCCGCGGCCGAAAAAGCGGCUCGUGCUGCUAAAGUGAAGAAAGAAGCACUCGGACGAGAGAAGCGUGUUCUCGUACGCUCUAUCUCUAUCUCGUUUAAUGAUGUGGCGAAUUAUAUCGAACAUACGCCAUCGAAGGAAGCAGUCAACACAAUCGCUGCAAAUCUUGAUUCUAUUCAAGGUAUGUUGGAAAAGCUAUCCAAAAUUGAUUCGCAACUUAUGGAUUUUAUUGAUCAAGCUCAGUUGACGGAUGACAUUGUAGCCGAAGAAGCUGAGAUAUGUGAUGAUUAUAUGAAGUAUUUUCGUUUAUUUAAUACGUCGAUGGGAAAGUUGAAAACCAUACAGGAAUCGUUACAUCCUGCUGCACGUUCGAGUCGCCGUUCAAUGUUUUCAAGCACGUUUUUAGACGCAACGUUAUCGAAUCCUAUGGUAAAGUUACAAGAUGUUCCUGUACCCCAGUUUGAUGGUACGUACGCUAGUUUUCCCGAUUGGUACGCUGAGUUUUCAUCCAUUGUCGAUAAGAACGAGAAUUUCGAUUCGUUUCAAAAGAUGUAUUUACUUCGUCGUGCUAUGGGAGAAGGUGCAAAAGAUAUCCUAAAAGAUAUGGGCACUGAAGGCCAUUUAUAUGAGCCUACAUUUAAAGACCUUUAUAAGACCUAUUAUAAUAGGCGAAGAAUAAUUGCUGAGCACUUUGCUAAUUUGAUCGAUAUGCCGCCAAUUAAGGGCAAUAAUAUACGUGAGUCAGUAAACAAAGUCAAACGAGUCAUCCGUGGUUUGAAUGUAUGUGACUUGAAUGUUGAUGCGAUGUCACCGUUAAUCGCCUUUAUUGUUUCGAGAAAAAUCCCAGAAAAACUCAAAAUGGACUGGGACACGUCAAAUCAUGAUUACUCUGUUUAUCCCUCGUUCGAAUCGCUCGCAACGUUCCUAUUGAAUCGAAGUUUUUCGUACGAGACCAAUGUGGCUUCUUCAAACGAGUCAAAAAAUAAGUCGUCGGUUCCUGUCACCAGUACAGUGCCUGGAAAAAAUGCUGGAAAAAGUAAUUCGUCGUCGAAGUCGUCGUUAGCUGUCAGUUCGCCUAAAGGAUCAUCAGUUAAUUUUCCGAAAUGUGUAGUGUGUUCGAAAUACCAUUUUUUGGACCAAUGUGAUGUAUUUAUUGGUAAAUCUGCAUUAGAACGUUUCGAUAUUAUUAAAGGUAAUAAAUUAUGCAUUAAAUGUUUCAAGCCGAAUCAUUCGGUGAGUAAUUGUACGCGACCAAAUUGUAAAUCGUGUGAUGGUAAACACCAUAAUUUAUUACAUCGUGAAAAAACAACGAACGAAAAGCCAGAUAAUUCGGAUACUCAAGGUACGUCAAAUGAGCCACCUAAGAGUAGUUUGUGUGCUUUAGGAUCUUCGAAAUCUGUGUUUCUUAGCACUGCGAUUGUGAAAGUUAGUGAUGGUUAUUCUAGUGAGUAUGCUAGGGUUUUGUUUGAUCAAGGAUCUGAGGUAUCUUUGAUUACUCGUGAGUUUUGUGAUCGAGCUAAAUUGAAAAUGAUAAACAAUCCCUCGCCUACUUCGUUGAUUGGUAUCAAUGAAAAGCCUAUCGAAUUGAAUAAAGUUGUGAAGUGCGUUUUAAGUAGUCGAUUUAAUGAUUUUCGUAUCGCUAUUGAUGCCGAGGUGAUUCCUCGAAUUCCUUAUUCAGUGAAUAAACAGGAUAUUAAAGAAGUCAUUAGUAAUUUUCCUCAUAAUUUCGGUGAAGAUUUCAACCUGCCUCAUGAUUCUGUUGAUAUUUUACUCGGAAGCGAGUAUGUCGAGUUUGUGAUGGCAGAAAAGCGUUUUUUUGUUGAAGGUUUAUGUUUGAGGGAGUCAAAGUUCGGUUUCGUUGUCUCUGGGUCGAGAAAAGCUUCGUUUUGUGCUAGUAAAAUGUCGUUCUGUGGUCUAUCGAAUGUAGAGUUGUCUAAUCAACUUGAUCGCUUUUUUUCGGUUGAAGAAAUUCAGGAGUCUGAAUUGAAUGAAAAGGUCUUAGAUCAUGAGUUGAUUGAGAAACAUUUUAAUGACACUUAUCAAAUUGAUGAAGAAUCUGGAAAAUUCGUUAUUCGUUUACCGUUGAAAGAAAGUGUCAAGUGUUUGAAUGGAUCUUAUGAUAAAGUUCGAAAAAUGUUUUUGAGGUCUGAGUCUCAUCGUUCUGAGAGUAAGCACAAUUCGUACAAGGAUGUAUUCGAAGAGUAUUUGAAAUUAGGUCAUAUGUCCGAAGUAAAUGAACCUAAUGUCGAUGGUUAUUUUAUCCCUCAUCAUCUUGUAUCAAAAAUAACUACCAAUGGUGUUAGUAAUCGAGUCGUAUUCAAUGCUUCAUUUUGCGAUGCCUCUGGAACAUCGCUAAAUAAUCAUUUACUCGAAGGUCCAGUUAUUCAGCCAAAACUGAAUACCAAUAUUAAUCAAUUUCGGUCGAAUUUAGUAGCUUUUUCUACUGAUAUUUACAGAAUGUAUCGAUGUAUUUUAAUACAUAAGGAUGAUCGAAUGUAUCAACAGAUUUUUUUUCGUUUUGAUCGUAAUGGUUCUUUAUUGGUUUUCGUUUUAAAUACCUUAACUAACGGUAUUGGUCCAGCUUCGUAUUUAGCGACGAAAUGUCUGGAAAAAAUUGGUAUGUCGAUUUUAUCAUCUGAUCCUGAAGUGGCUAAUAUUAUUUUGAAAUCCUUUUAUAUGGAUAAUGGUACAAUUGCGGUGAAAAGUGUUGAACAGGCCAUUGCAAUACAACAUCGAUUGCACGAUGUUUUACUUAAGCAUGGAUUUCGUUUGACUAAGUAUCAAAGCAACUCUAAGGAGUUCCUUAAUUCGUUGGAUCCGUCUUUGAUCGAACCUCUAGCUACGAAGGUAAUCGGCGGAGAUGAGUUUGUAAGUUUAUUAGGGUUAGUAUGGUAUACUGAUAAGGAUGAGUUUGGAAUACUAAUAAAAUCAAGCGAAAUUCCAGUUAUUGCGACCAAACGUAUCAUUUUGUCGGAGAUUUCCAAGGUGUUCGAUAUUCUAGGAAUUCUUACUCCCGUUACAAUUCGUGGCAAAUUACUCAUGCAGUCAGUUUGGCGUGAAGGUCGUAAAUGGGAUGAGGAAGUGUCUUAUGAAUUAUUUGUCGAAUUUUCGGAGUACUUGAAGGAUUUAAUUUUGUUAUCAGAAUUUCGGAUACCUAGGUGCUAUUUUUCGAGCUCAUUCGUUGUUCAAACUCAAUUAGUUGGAUUUUGUGAUGCUUCGCUAAGUGCAUAUUGUGCUGUCGUAUAUAUUCGUUCUAUUGAUAAUGAAGGAAAUAUUGUAUCUACGUUUGUAAUGUCAAAGUCUCGUAUCGCUCCGAUUAAAGCUUCCAAGUCGAAUAUACAUCGUUUAGAGUUAGCAAGUGCUGAAUUAUUAGCCAAAUUGAUUCGAGAAAUUAGUGAUGAUUUGAAAGUUGAUGAGAUUUUUUGUUUCAGUGAUUCGAUGGUAACGUUAGGUUGGUUGCAUAUUGAUCCUAGUCGUUUGAAGGUAUUCGUGUCUAACCGUGUUGUAAACGUAUCUAAAUUAACAGAUAUUAAUCGUUGGUUUUAUGUUGAAAGUUUGUCAAAUCCUGCAGAUUUAGGUACUCGAGGUAUUCCAUCGAGAAAGUUGUUGAAUUGUUCGCUUUGGAAAAUCGGACCUAGUUGGUUAAUUUCUGAAGAGUUCCUUCAGCAUGUUCAGUUUCAACUUGAUAAUGAAAGGGAAUUACCUGAGUUAAAAGAGAACACAUCCUUGAUUAUAUGGUAUGAUAAUCGACCAAUUUUAUCGAUGAUAAAAUCGUAUUCGUCAUUCUAUAAAUGUAUUUCGAUAGUAAGUUUUGUUCUUAGGUACGUGAACGUGUUGAAAAGCAGAGCGAGAAUUCGUUUAGCUGGUAAUAUUCCCAAGCCAGUAUGUCGUAUUGUUGAUUUUAAGGAAGGAGAAUGGGUCAAGCUUGUUGAACCGUUAUCAGUCGAAGAGAGAGAUAUUGCCUAUUUUAGAAUUAUUCGUUACGCUCAAGUAGAACGUUUUGAAGUUGAGAUCGAGUGUCUGAAAAAAGGUAAAAAGUUGCAUCGAAAAAAUAGGUUAUCAACUCUUGAAUUAUUUUUUGAUAAGUACGGAAUUUUACGUGUUGGUGGUAGAAUUACAGCUGCAUGUUUUUCAGACGAUGCGAAAUUUCCAAUUAUCUUAUCCUCGAAGUCUUCGCUUUUGUAUUUGUAUAUCGAUUUUGCGCAUCGAAAAUAUUGCCACGCUUCUGCUUCGUUUUUGUACAAUUUUGUACGUGGUAGAUUUUUCGUAAUUGGCAAUUUAGCUGCCACUAUCAAAGAAUGUUUGCACAAGUGUUUAACGUGCACUAGGUAUGAUGCGAAAAUGGUUGAACAGAUUAUGGGCGAUUUACCUUUUCAAAGAGUAAAUAUUUCGAGACCAUUCUCAACUGUAGGUAUAGAUCUAACGGGUGCUAUUUCGAUAAAAUGCACCAAUCAUCGAGUAGGAAAAGUUGUUAAGGUUUAUGCCUGUUUUUUCGUUUGUUUUUGUACUAGAGCUGUUCAUGUAGAGUUGAUAGAAGACCUCACGACCGAAGCCUUUUUGGCUACUUUCGAAAGAUUCGUUGCUCGUCGUGGUUUACCACACACAGUUUAUUCGGAUAACGCUACUAAUUUUGUAAGUGCUCGUAAUAGAUUUUUUGCCGAGAAUCGCAUCAAGUGGUUGUUGAUUUCCCCACGCAGUCCUCACCAAGGUGGGCUGUGGGAGUCCGCUAUAAAAGCUGGAAAAUCGCUCAUGGUGAAAUGUAUUGGAAGUCAAAUCUUGAACCUCUUCGAACUUAUGACUAUUUUAUCGAAAAUAGAAGCGAUUCUCAAUUCUAGGCCACUUGCCUAUGUUCGAAAAAAUGAUUUUGUUGAGCCAGUGACGCCAGGUCAUUUCUUGAUUGGUAGUAAUUUACUUGAGCCAUCUUUGAAUGUCGAUAAUAAGUCAAGUCUUCGUGAUCGUUAUAAACUUUGGAGAAAAGUCGUUGAUUCGUUUUGGAUUUGCUGGCGUCAUGAAUAUUUUAAUCAACUUCGUCAUCGAAGUAAAUGGCGUAAAGAAGGUAGGAAUAUUCGAAUUGAUGACGUCGUUUUAUUGUCAUUACCUAAUGAGUCUUCGUUGAAUUGGCCUAUGGCCAUUGUCGUUAAAGUUUACCCAGAUUGUCAUGGUACUGUAAGAAAUGCCGAUGUAAAGUUGUCUGAUAUGUCGAUUAGAAGGACUUCGGUCCAACGUCUGGUUUUAUUGCCAGUACGAGAUGAUGAAUAAUUUCGUUAUCUCAUUAUGCUCGGUAUUAUGUCGUUUUACGUAAAUUCCUGUUCCGAUUAAUUGUUUUUUCUACAAUUUAUCGAUGUUAGACCUAGUAAUUAAUUUAUUUUACCUGUGAUAGUUUAUGUCUUUUUAUUUUUUAUUUAAUUUGUAAAUUGAUUUUUAAAUUUUUACUCUUUUUUGUAAUUAUUUUUAUGUAUGUUAAUUUGUAAAUAAUUUUUUUUGGGUUCAAAUGAGCUUUGCUCAUUUCGGGGGGGUGUUUGUUACGUUCGUAAGUGCGAGUUGCAUUAUCGAACUAGUUGUUAUCUAGAUUUUUAUCUCGUUGAUGUGUCGAAGCUUAUUCUUUUUUCGUUUCGUGUUCAAUAGUAAAUAUAUCGUUGUACAGUCCACACCAAUGCUCUAUGUUGUUUUAUUUCGUAUCGUAACACUCGAUGUACCUACGUUUGUAAUUACAUCUGCAUACAUCUGUACACAUAUAGAAUAGAGCUUACGACGACUGUUGAGCAUAUGAGGCGCAUGCGUCAGCCAUAAUAGCUCGGCGUCUCCGUCUUGUUGCGGUUCGAAUGUCAUGAUCAGCUAUACCUGUUUUCCGCUUGACGUUUCGACCAGAGGUAAAUACUAUUCAUACAACAACAACAGGUGGUAUUACUGGUGCGGUGAUUCUUUCUCCAUCUCGCUCUUUCUCCCGGAGUCCCGGUCCCAGUAUCUCGGUAAAGGUGCCGCUCCGGUUCGCGGUCUCUCUCCUCCAGGUACGCAUCGUGAGCGCGAGUCGCGAGUUCCAACAACCGGCUGCAUUGCGUUCGCGAAACACUCGAUUCGUGUACCAGUUGCGUGUUUCAACGGUCGUUGUUCGGUGUUUUUUUCCUAACACAUUUUUCACUUUCGUCUUCGUCGUCGUCGACGUGAAAUUUAAAAAAUCGAUUAUAUUUGCGCGAAAUUUGGAAACUUCGCGAUUGAAAAAAUUUUUCUCGGUUAAAAUCGAUUUUUUUUCAACGGUGUGAAAAAAUUUAUGAUUUUUUGUGUUCGUUUUCGAAUCGUGUACGACGAACUGUUUUUUAUUUUCAAUUUUCGGCAGUGUUUGUGUUGAUUUUGAAGUGUUGAAAAAAAUAUAGUGCAUUAUUGGAUAUACACCUACCUACCAACACGUAUAGGAUACCUAUGUGAUCAUCUUGUAUUUCAUUUUGGAUACGAAGAUUAAUAAAUCGCUGUUCGGAUCUAUCCGGCGGAUAAACGGAUAAUUCGCGGUACGAGGAUCAUUUUCUUGAACGAUUGUGCACUCGACUGUGAGUAAAAAACGCAAUUUCCAAAAUAGUAUUACUCAUAUAUGAAUUCGCGUAUGAGAAUAAGCAUCUUAAAAUGUCAUCGAGCGGUUCACUAUGCCUUGCGAAGACUGACGGAUAUAAAUGAAAAAAAUGUCGUCGCUACAGUUUGAUCGAUCGAUAAAUAUGCAAAUUUUCAAGGACAUCUCGAUCCUGCUCAUUUGAUAGCGAUUAUUCUCGCACCCACGCUGGCGAUAAAUGAUCCGCGAGUCGAUGAAUUUGUGCACUAGACGCAGAAAGAGAGCAGAAUAAAUACCAAUAUAAG